GUGGGGUUGUGGCUCAGUUGGUAGAGUGCUUGCCUAGCAUGUGUGAGGCACUGGGUUUGAUUCUCAGCACCACA
This 74-nucleotide transfer RNA is filed under the name Marmota monax (woodchuck). RNAcentral describes it as "tRNA.Ala". The record is from RNAcentral. Lineage: Eukaryota; Metazoa; Chordata; Mammalia; Rodentia; Sciuridae.